Brassica napus (rape) is the source of this 1162-nucleotide long non-coding RNA. RefSeq lists it as uncharacterized. NCBI's taxonomy places the organism in Eukaryota, Viridiplantae, Streptophyta, Magnoliopsida, Brassicales, Brassicaceae. The transcript has 2 exons. The record is from RefSeq and is a predicted model, not a curated record.
UAUAUAUGCCGAAUGUUUUUGGAAGUGGGACCCCAUAAACUGGAGGCCCCAUUCAAAUGUUUUAAAAUACUACAUACAAGCUCGACUCUGGACUUGAGUUGCGUAAGACCGCAAACUAAGGUGUGUUUGAUCUGUGUUUGAUUGAUCUGCACCCGACUAGCACAUGAUGUGUAUAUCUAACUGAGCAGUACUGCAUUACCCGACAGAGGCAUAUAUACUGAAGACAUCAUUGAUCCCACUAUAUUGCAAACUAGAACCUUCAUAUUCCAAACAAAGGAUAACUAAAAGAAAGUAAUGGAUUGGGUCGAGGUACCGGUCUAGGCUAAAAUGACUAGUUGGUUUUUAUUUUUUAAUGUGUGAGGCCAUUGAACGUUAUUUUUUAAUCAUGCUACCUUUUCGUAUGUUUUAGAAGAUGAAGACAAAUUAUGUGAAUACCGGAAAAGAAAGGAAAUAAAAUAAAAAUAAAUCACAAAAAAUAAUAGUAUAUUGUAUUUUUAGCGAGAAACUGUAUCUAUGGAAAGAGAAAAAUAAAUUAGAUGAAGAGAAUACUUUUACCUUACAUAUAAAAAAGGAAAAAAAUAAAAUAGACGAAGAUAAUAUUAUCAUUUUUACCCAGACAUAUUUUUUACAUAGAGAUUAAUUAAACAUCUCAAUGUUUUAUAUCAAACUGUAACAAAAUGAUCUUUGAAUUUUUUUUGAUUAAAUUUUAUAGCUCAAUUUUUGACUCCCAACAAUUACAGUACACAAUUUUUCAAACUACCAUAAGAUAGCAAUUUUUUUACAAUAUUAAAAAUAAUUAGUUUACGCAUAUGACAUUUACCAUUAUAUUUAUUUAUAGAAACAUAAGUGAACGAGUCUAAAGCUUUCACGUAUUAGAUGAGCAAGAAAAAUGGAAAUUUUUCAAAAUUAGAUUCGGUUAAAGCGGAACAUAAUAAAGUGAAUUGCUUAAAUUAGCUAUUUUAGCUAUAUAUAUAUAUUCAUGUUACCAAAACAGAAAAAUACAUCACCUUUCCUUUUAGAGUUUAAAAUCAUUAUCAAUUCACUUCUGUCAUAUAUGAUGAAGAAAACCCCUCAACUCUCGUUUACAGUCUUUACUAUCUUCAUCAUUCUUGUGUUAGGAACGAUGGCAAAUGCAAAAGAAAAGGGCAAAUUGUGUGAUCAA